This 253-nucleotide ribosomal RNA is filed under the name uncultured bacterium. Its description in RNAcentral is "partial 16S ribosomal RNA". It matches the Rfam family "Bacterial small subunit ribosomal RNA", at positions 524 to 776 of the family's 1533-position model. The record is from RNAcentral.
UACAGAGGUCUCGAGCGUUAGGCGGAAUCACUGGGCUUAAAGCGUGUGUAGGUGGAUCGUUAAGUACCUUGUGAAAUCCCACGGCUUAACCGUGGAACUGCUUGGUAUACUGGCGGUCUUGAGCCAGCUAGGGGCUACCGGAACAAAUGGUGGAGCGGUGAAAUGCGUAGAUAUCUGGAGGAAUACCGGUGGCGAAGGCGGCAUCCUGGACCGGCAUUGACGCUGAGGAGCGAAAGCCAGGGGAGCAAACGGG